AGAUGCAGGUUACCCGCGACAGGACGGAAAGACCCCAUGGAGCUUUACUGCAGUUUGAUAUUGAGUAUCUGUACCACAUGUACAGGAUAGGUAGGAGCCUACGAAGUCGGGACGCCAGUUUCGACUGAGGCGCUGUUGGGAUACUACCCUUGUGUUAUGGCUACUCUAACCCGGAUAGGUUAUCCCUAUCGGAGACAGUGUCUGACGGGCAGUUUGACUGGGGCGGU
Molecule: ribosomal RNA, 227 nt
Filed under: Streptococcus suis
Lineage: Bacteria; Bacillati; Bacillota; Bacilli; Lactobacillales; Streptococcaceae
Description: partial 23S ribosomal RNA
Rfam family: Bacterial large subunit ribosomal RNA
Source: RNAcentral